UCUUUUUUAAUCCAGAAGGAUAAUGACGGUACCGUAAGAAUAAGCCCCGGCUAAUUACGUGCCAGCAGCCGCGGUAAUACGUAGGGGGCAAGCGUUUUUCGAAAUAAAAGAAAAUAAAAGCGUGCGCAGGCGGUUAUGUAAGUCAGUUGUAAAAUCCCGGGGCUCAACCUGGAAAAUGCAUUUGUGACUGCAUAUCUAGAGUCCGGUAGAGGGGGAUGGAAUUCCGCGUGUAGCAGUGAAAUGCGUAGAUAUGCGGAGGAACACCGAUGGCGAAGGCAAUCCCCGGGACCUGUACUGACGUUAAUGCACGAAAGCGUGGGGAGCAAACAGGAUUAGAUACCCUGGUAGUCCACGCCCUAAACGAUGUCAACU
RNAcentral lists this ribosomal RNA (372 nucleotides) under uncultured Comamonadaceae bacterium. RNAcentral describes it as "bacterial SSU rRNA". It matches the Rfam family "Bacterial small subunit ribosomal RNA", at positions 453 to 817 of the family's 1533-position model. The record is from RNAcentral. Lineage: Bacteria; Pseudomonadati; Pseudomonadota; Betaproteobacteria; Burkholderiales; Comamonadaceae.